Mytilus californianus (California mussel) is the source of this 1553-nucleotide long non-coding RNA. RefSeq lists it as uncharacterized. The transcript is spliced from 2 exons. NCBI's taxonomy places the organism in Eukaryota, Metazoa, Mollusca, Bivalvia, Mytilida, Mytilidae. The record is from RefSeq and is a predicted model, not a curated record.
GUUCAAACAACUAAGAAGAAAAGUCAUUUUUCCAGAAUUUUUGAGGCAGGAUGGGGUUGGCUAUAAUGUCAAUAAAUGUGUGUAUUGUAAACAAUGUUCUAUAUUCUUAAUCAGUGAGGAACCUACUGCCAGGUUACUGAAGUUAGUCUAAUGUCUAUACUAACCUCCAUAACCUGUUUAUACAUAAGAGAUAGUAAACCAUGUUAUAUGAGUGUUGUUUUACUUAGAACAAGUGUUGUGUGGUUAUAUAUCAGUGUAGAACAUACUGCCAGGUUACUGAAGUUAGUCUUGUGUCUGUACUAACCCCCAUAACCUGUUUAUACAUGAGAGAUAGUCAACCAUGUUAUAUGAGUGUUGUUUUACUAAGAACAAGUGUUGUGUGGUUAUAUAUCAGUGUAGAACAUACUGCCAGGUUACUGAAGUUAGUCUAAUGUCUAUACUAACCUCCAUAACCUGUGUAUACAUGAGAGAUAGUCAACCAUGUUAUAUGAGUGUUGUUUUACUGAGAACAAGUGUUGUACAGUUAUAUAUCAGUGAAGAACCUACUGCCAGGUUACUGAAGUUAGUCUAAUGUCUAUACUAACCUCCAUAACCUGUUUAUACAUGAGAGAUAGUCAACCAUGUUGUAUGAGUUUUGUUUUACUGAGAACAAGUGUUUUGUGGUUAUAUAUGAGUGUAGAACCUACUGCCAGGUUACUGAAGUUAGUCUAAUGUCUAUACUAACCUCCAUAACCUUUUUAUACAUAAGAGAUAGUAAACCAUGUUAUAUGAGUGUUGUUCUACCUAGAACAAGUGUUCUAUGGUUAUAUAUCAGUGAAGAACCUACUGCGAGGUUACUGAAGUUAGUCUUAUGUCUGUACUAACCCCAUAACCUGUUUAUACAUGAGAGACAGUCAACCAUGUUAUAUGAGUUUUUUUGUAACUGGGAACAAGUGUUUUAUGGUUAUAUAUCAGUAGAGAACCUACUGCCAGGUUACUGAAGUUAGUUUAAUGUCUAUACUAACCUCCAUAACCUGUUUAUACAUGAGAGAUAGUCAACCAUGUUAUAUGAGUUUUGUUUUACUUAAAACAAGAGUUGUGUGGUUACAUAUCAGUGGAGAACCUACUGCCAGGUUACUGAAGUUAGUCUAAUGUCUAUACUAAUCUCCAUAACCUGUGUAUGCAUGAGAGAUAGUCAACCAUGUUAUAUGAGUGUUCUUUUACUUAGAACAAGUGUUGUACAGUUAUAUAUCAGUGAAGAACCUACUGCCAGGUUACUGAAGUUAGUCUAAUGUCUAUACUAACCUAUAUAACCUGUUUAUACAUGAGAGAUAGUCAAUCAUGUUAUAUGAGUGUUGUUUUACUGAGAACAAAUAUUGUAUUGUUAUUAUAUCAGUGUUGAACUUACUGUCUAUAGUAGUACCUCCAUAACCUUUUUUAACAUUUGGGAUAGCAGAUCGUUAGUAUGUUGCUGACUGUCAAUUUUAUAACAUGUAUUCAUUUAUUAAGAAUUUUGCAUCUAUUUCUGAUGAUUCUUUGCUUUUGAUUUAAACAAAUAUACAAAUGAUACAUGA